This 1299-nucleotide long non-coding RNA is filed under the name Calidris pugnax (ruff). RNAcentral describes it as "lncRNA (ENSCPUG00000008665.1)". The record is from RNAcentral. Lineage: Eukaryota; Metazoa; Chordata; Aves; Charadriiformes; Scolopacidae.
GGGGUGUCGGCUCGGGGUGUCCCCCCCAUUGGCAGCACCGUCCCCGCAGAGAGCUCCCCCUGCCCCGGGGGCAGCGCCCUGUCUGUAGGGCAAAGCGAUGAUCAGCAAUAACAAUUUUGGGUAGAGAAGCACCAGUGCCUUCCUUUUAGUGCGACAGGAGUUGUUUCUUCUCAUUCCAUGUGGGACCCGUCACGGUCCGUCCCGAGGGAGCCGGGAAGGAGGGAAGGGACCGGGAUGCGCAGGGAGGGCUCCCUCGCUGCCGUAAGAAUCAUGAUUUCCAGACCCCCCAGUGUUGUUCCGAGUGCCUUAUAUCCCUAUAUCCGCCCGCUUCCCGACAGAAGGUGUUUCUGUCCCUCGUGCUCUCCUGCCUCUUCCGCCCCCCUCACCUUGUGUCCCUCGGUCCCUCUGUCCCCAUGGGAUUCCCAGCUGUGCCUGCUCCUCCUGCACCGGCCCAGUCCUGCCAGGGCUGUGCUGCUGUGGGGACCCUGUCCCUCCUUUCCCAGAUCCCGUCCCUCCUUUCCCAGACCCCGGCCCUCCCUUCCCAAACCCUUUCCCUCCUUUCCCAGACCCCAGCCCUCCUUUCCCAGACCCCAGCCCUCCUUUCCCAAACCCUUUCUCUUCUUUCCCAAACCCUUUCCCUUAUUUUCUGGACUCUUCCUUCUUUCCUGGACCCUUUCCCCUCUUUCCUUGACCCUUUUCCUUCUUUCCCAGACUCUUUCCCUUCUUUCCUGGACUUUUUCUCUUCUUUCCUGGACUCUUUCUUUCCUGGACCCUUUCCCUUCUUUCCCAGAUCCUUACCCUUUUUUCUCCAGACCCUUUCCCUUCAUUCCCUUCUUUCCCGGACUCUUUCCCUUCUUUCCUGGACCUUUUAUCUUCUUUCCUGGACUCUUUCUUUCCUGGACCCUUUCCCUUCUUUCCCAGAUCCUUACCCUUUUUUCUCCAGACCCUUUCCCUUCAUUCCCUCCUUUCCCAGACCCUUUCCCUUCUUUCCCAGACCCUUUCCCAGACCCUUUCCCAGACCCUUUCCCAGACCCUUUCCCGGACCCUUUUCCUUCUUUCCCAGACUCUUUCCCAGACUCUUUCCCUGACCCUCUCCCAGUUUCUCCCCUGGCUCAGGGUGUGUGGAUGAUCCCAGGGGGGUUACCGAGGCCGGUGGGCAGUGGCAGCACCGGGGGGCUGGGAGCUGUUGGUGCUGCUGAUGUUGCUGUGCUCCCCCCCCCGUGCCUGUGUCACAGGAGAGGGGGAAAGAUGGGAUUUGGGAAUCCCUUCUCCCUGUGGGAGCUCCGGGGGCGCCUUUAG